This 426-nucleotide ribosomal RNA is filed under the name uncultured bacterium. Its description in RNAcentral is "bacterial SSU rRNA". It matches the Rfam family "Bacterial small subunit ribosomal RNA", at positions 355 to 774 of the family's 1533-position model. The record is from RNAcentral.
UCGAGAAUUUUUGACAAUGGGGGAAACCCUGAUCGAGCGACGCCGCGUGGAGGAUGAAGGUCUUCGGAUUGUAAACUCCUGUCAUUGGGGAACAAUGCACAGAUAUUAACUGUAUUUGUGUUGAUAGUACCCGAAGAGGAAGGGACAGCUAACUCUGUGCCAGCAGCCGCGGUAAUACAGAGGUCCCAAGCGUUGUUCGGAUUCAUUGGGCGUAAAGGGUGCGUAGGCGGCGCGGUAAGUCGGGUGUGAAAUCUCGGGGCUUAACUCCGAAACUGCAUUCGAUACUGCCGUGCUUGAGGACUGGAGAGGAGACUGGAAUUUACGGUGUAGCGGUGAAAUGCGUAGAUAUCGUAAGGAAGACCAGUGGCGAAGGCGGGUCUCUGGACAGUUCCUGACGCUGAGGCACGAAGGUCAGGGGAGCAAACG